Molecule: ribosomal RNA, 322 nt
Filed under: uncultured eukaryote
Lineage: Eukaryota
Description: partial 18S ribosomal RNA
Rfam family: Eukaryotic small subunit ribosomal RNA
Source: RNAcentral
CCCUUAGAUGUUCUGGGCCGCACGCGUGCUACACUGAGUGGAUCAGCGGGCCAGGUUGCGCGAGAGUGUUUCCUAAUCUUUAAAUCCGCUCGUGAUGGGGAUUGACGGUUGCAAUUUUCCGUCAUGAACGAGGAAUACCUUGUAAGCGCGGGUCAUCAUCCCGCGCUGAAUACGUCCCUGCCCUUUGUACACACCGCCCGUCGCUCCUACCGAUUGAGUGGUCCGGUGAGGCUUUGGGAUCUGGGCGGAAAGAGCGUUUCGCUGUUUCUGCCCGGAAAACUCAGUCGAACCUUAUCAUUUAGAGGAAGGAGAAGUCGUAACA